GUUUGAUCCUGGCUCAGGAUGAACGCUGGCGGCGUGCCUACCAUGCACGUCGAACGUGAGAGGAUAGCAAUAUUCUUGAAAGUGGCGCACGGGUGAGUAAUACGUAGGUAACCUGCCCUGAAGCGGGGGAUAACAGUUGGAAACGACUGCUAACACCGCAUAUUGCCGGGAUGUCGGGAGACAAUCUGGUGAAAACUCUGGUGCUUCAGGAGGGGCCUGCGGCCGAUUAGCUAGUUGGCGGGGUAAGAGCCCACCAAGGCGACGAUCGGUAGCUGGUCUGAGAGGACGAUCAGCCACACGGGAACUGAGACACGGUCCCGACUCCUACGGGGGGCAGCAGUGAGGAAUAUUGGGCAAUGGGCGCAAGCCUGACCCAGCAACGCCGCGUGGAGGAAGACGGCCUUCGGGUUGUAAACUCCUUUUACGGGGGAAGAGGAAGGACGGUACCCCGAGAAUAAGUCACGGCUAACUACGUGCCAGCAGCCGCGGUAAUACGUAGGUGACAAGCGUUAUCCGGAAUUACUGGGCGUAAAGCGCACGCAGGCGGCGCAUUAAGUCUGACGUGAAAUCUCCUGGCUUAACUGGGAGGGGUCGUUGGAGACUGAUGUGCUUGAGGCGAUGAGAGGGGUGUAGAAUUCCCGGUGUAGUGGUGGAAUGCGUAGAUAUCGGGAGGAAUACCAGUGGCGAAAGCGACACCCUGGCAUUAGCCUGACGCUCAUGUGCGAAGGCGUGGGGAGCGAACGGGAUUAGAUACCCCGGUAGUCCACGCGGUAAACGAUGAAUACUAGGUGUGGGUGGAGUGAAAUCCAUCUGUGCCGAAGCAAACGCGCUAAGUAUUCCGCCUGGGGAGUACGGCCGCAAGGCUAAAACUCAAAGGAAUUGACG
Molecule: ribosomal RNA, 885 nt
Filed under: uncultured bacterium
Lineage: Bacteria
Description: bacterial SSU rRNA
Rfam family: Bacterial small subunit ribosomal RNA
Source: RNAcentral